GAUGAACGCUGGCGGCGUGCCUAAUACAUGCAAGUCGAGCGAACAGACGAGGAGCUUGCUCCUCUGACGUUAGCGGCGGACGGGUGAGUAACACGUGGAUAACCUACCUAUAAGACUGGGAUAACUUCGGGAAACCGGAGCUAAUACCGGAUAACAUGUUGAACCGCAUGGUUCAACAGUGAAAGACGGUCUUGCUGUCACUUAUAGAUGGAUCCGCGCCGCAUUAGCUAGUUGGUAAGGUAACGGCUUACCAAGGCAACGAUGCGUAGCCGACCUGAGAGGGUGAUCGGCCACACUGGAACUGAGACACGGUCCAGACUCCUACGGGGGGCAGCAGUAGGGAAUCUUCCGCAAUGGGCGAAAGCCUGACGGAGCAACGCCGCGUGAGUGAAGAAGGUCUUCGGAUCGUAAAACUCUGUUAUUAGGGAAGAACAAAUGUGUAAGUAACUAUGCACGUCUUGACGGUACCUAAUCAGAAAGCCACGGCUAACUACGUG
RNAcentral lists this ribosomal RNA (497 nucleotides) under uncultured bacterium. Its description in RNAcentral is "partial 16S ribosomal RNA". It matches the Rfam family "Bacterial small subunit ribosomal RNA", at positions 28 to 507 of the family's 1533-position model. The record is from RNAcentral.